UACGAAGGGUGCUAGCGUUGUUCGGAAUCACUGGGCGUAAAGCGCGCGUAGGCGGCCCGGUAAGUCCGCUGUGAAAGUCAAAGGCUCAACCUUUGAAUGUCAGCGGAUACUGCCGGGCUAGAGUCCGGAAGAGGCGAGUGGAACUCCUGGUGUAGCGGUGGAAUGCGCAGAUAUCAGGAAGAACACCAACGGCGAAGGCAGCUCGCUGGGACGGAACUGACGCUAAGGCGCGAAAGCGUGGGGAGCGAACAGG
This 253-nucleotide ribosomal RNA is filed under the name uncultured bacterium. Its description in RNAcentral is "partial 16S ribosomal RNA". It matches the Rfam family "Bacterial small subunit ribosomal RNA", at positions 524 to 776 of the family's 1533-position model. The record is from RNAcentral.